RNAcentral lists this unclassified non-coding RNA (243 nucleotides) under Hevea brasiliensis (rubber tree). The record is from RNAcentral. Lineage: Eukaryota; Viridiplantae; Streptophyta; Magnoliopsida; Malpighiales; Euphorbiaceae.
UCUCUCUCUCUCUCUCUCUCUGUCCUUUCUCAGUGCAUUUGCAGAUCUCUUUCAAACUCCUCUAGGAUCUGCAAAUGUGCACCGUAUCGAUUCUACUCCCGAUUCGCUGUCUUCUCGCUUUCUCUGCAUUUCUCUUGCUAAAGCUCAGUUCACAGGUUGUAAUUUUGUCUGGCCAGAGGGAAGUUCAAACUGCUUACUAGGGAGAUUUAUAAUGACUUGGAGGACAUACUCUGGAGAAAAUUG